GCGACAGGCCUAACACAUGCAAGUCGAGGGGUAACAGAAGUAGCUUGCUACUAGAUGACGACCGGCGCACGGGUGAGUAACGCGUAUGCAACCUACCUUAUACUGGGGGAUAGCCCAGAGAAAUCUGGAUUAAUACCGCAUAACAAUUAUCUUUCGCAUGUUAGAUAAUUUAAAACUCCGGUGGUAUAAGAUGGGCAUGCGUAGCAUUAGUUAGUUGGUAAGGUAACGGCUUACCAAGACAAUGAUGCUUAGGGGGUCUGAGAGGAUGAUCCCCCACACUGGUACUGAGACACGGACCAGACUCCUACGGGAGGCAGCAGUGAGGAAUAUUGGUCAAUGGACGCAAGUCUGAACCAGCCAUGUCGCGUGCAGGAUGACGGCCCUAUGGGUUGUAAACUGCUUUUUUACAGGAAUAAUUGCAGAUACGUGUAUUUGUUUGAAUGUACUGUAUGAAUAAGGAUCGGCUAACUCCGUGCCAGCAGCCGCGGUAAUACGGAGGAUUCGAGCGUUAUCCGGAUUUAUUGGGUUUAAAGGGUCCAUAGGCGGUUCUUUAAGUCAGUGGUGAAAUCCCAGAGCUCAACUCUGGAACUGCCAUUGAAACUGAAGAACUUGAAUAUGGUUGAGGUAGGCGGAAUACGUUAUGUAGCGGUGAAAUGCAUAGAUAUAACGUAGAACACCAAUUGCGAAGGCAGCUUACUAAGCCAUUAUUGACGCUGAUGGACGAAAGCGUGGGGAGCGAACAGGAUUAGAUACCCUGCUAGUCCACGCCGUAAACGAUGAUUACUCGUUGUGCACAAUACAUCGUGCGUGACUGAGCGAAAGCAUUAAGUAAUCCACCUGGGGAGUACGUUCGCAAGAAUGAAACUCAAAGGAAUUGACGGGGGGCC
This 887-nucleotide ribosomal RNA is filed under the name uncultured bacterium. RNAcentral's name for it is "bacterial SSU rRNA". It matches the Rfam family "Bacterial small subunit ribosomal RNA", at positions 39 to 922 of the family's 1533-position model. The record is from RNAcentral.